Molecule: ribosomal RNA, 244 nt
Filed under: uncultured Actinomycetales bacterium
Lineage: Bacteria; Bacillati; Actinomycetota; Actinomycetes; Actinomycetales
Description: partial 16S ribosomal RNA
Rfam family: Bacterial small subunit ribosomal RNA
Source: RNAcentral
UGCUCGAGUGGCGAACGGGUGAGUAACACGUGAGUAACCUGCCCUUGACUUUGGGAUAACUUCAGGAAACUGGGGCUAAUACCGGAUAGGAAGCUCCUGCUGCAUGGUGGGGUUGGAAAGUUUCGGCGGUUGGGGAUGGACUCGCGGCUUAUCAGCUUGUUGGUGGGUAGUGGCUUACCAAGGCUUUGACGGGUAGCCGGCCUGAGAGGGUGACCGGCCACAUUGGGACUGAGAUACGGCCCAG